This is a long non-coding RNA of Polyodon spathula (Mississippi paddlefish), 502 nucleotides long. RefSeq lists it as uncharacterized. The transcript has 4 exons. The record is from RefSeq and is a predicted model, not a curated record. Lineage: Eukaryota; Metazoa; Chordata; Actinopteri; Acipenseriformes; Polyodontidae.
CACAAUCUAUAGAGCAGUUCCAAGAGCAUGCAGAGAACUGCCAGGGUGAUAAUAUAUCACUGUCAUCGUGCUCCAGCAAUGAACUGACAGACAACAAAGAUCUGUUAGAACGAUUGAAAACAUUGGCAGAAAAGAAAACAUCAAAGGAAAGAAAGAAAAAGAAAGGAAAAUGAGGAUUGUUUCCUGGAUUCUGACAUCAAGAGGUUAAAAAAAUAAGAGGUUUGGGAGUCACUCAGAUGGAGAAAUCUUUCCAGGAGUCACCAUCACAUGAAUCACCCUGUUCAGUUUCUGGAGCCAGGCUGAAUAACAGUGAGCCAGAUCAUAAAAUGGAAAAUAUACAGCUUUCAGCUGGCAUUAAAAUAAUAAAAAAGCAAGCUUCAAAGAUGUAGCCACAAGACCCCUACUAAGCUUGUCAGAGUUUCUGACUGUUCUGGUUCCCAGAGAGAUUUUGGCCCAGUGCUCUUCGACGGGAGCAAGCAGUCGAAGAGGUCUUUGAUGCUAU